Molecule: small RNA, 885 nt
Filed under: Histoplasma ohiense
Lineage: Eukaryota; Fungi; Ascomycota; Eurotiomycetes; Onygenales; Ajellomycetaceae
Description: hypothetical lncRNA
Source: RNAcentral
GCUCAAGAUUGCUUCUGCCAUUAUUCCAACCUUGAUUGCCGGUAGCUUUUUUGUAGCUUAUCCGACACAAGGGACCACUUUUCUCCUCCUUGGUGACCAUUUCGUCCCCGUCAUUUAUUUGAACCCUACUGGGAAUUGAGUUUGGGGCGUGAAUUUGAAUACCAAGUUCCAGAAAAUAUUCCAUAUGGGGCUUGGGCAUAGCAACGACAAUUAUCGAGGUUGAUCUACAACACAUGUGGUUCCACGGGAACAAUUGAUAGCGCGCCCUAUAUUGACCAGAAAGUUGAUCCUCUCCUGGCCAUAUCUGAAGAGGGUUCGGGAUUUUUGUUGGGUUCGGGUUCUGAAUUUUCUUCACUUCGAUGAUGGCUGUUGAAAAUUGGGUAUCUUGGUUUUCUCAGAAUUGCUUUAGUACUUCUAUAUUGUCAGGGCAUAAAACCACAUCUUAGUGGAGAAGGGAUUGGGUGAAACAAUUCCGCCGUACCCUCAUGAGGCAAGAAUUCCCCUCUCAUGACGUCGGAAGGGAGAAGGGAGAAGGAUAUGGGUGAAUUUCAAGAGUCAAAUUGAAUCAGACAACAUGUACGGUACCUCACGAUGGGGAAGACUGAUAAGAGAGCAGCAUAGAGAGGUUAUAUAUGAUUACCAUUAAAGGACGCUUUUGAAAAUAUAAUAGCUAAGAUAAUGAGACAAAUCUCUCUGAAUAGAGAAUCAAGAGAGUUACGAGUACUCAUUGCAAGUCGCUCUGGUGGUGCAGCAGAUCUCCUUCAACGCGUUAUUAUUUCUCUUUCCAUUUUCUUUUGUUAGCCAUUCUCCAUUUCAUUCCCCCCUCCCUCCCUUUCUGGUUUUCGGGUUUUCUGCUUCCCGAAGAAAAGAAGCUGUGUUGUGUCG